RNAcentral lists this ribosomal RNA (274 nucleotides) under uncultured bacterium. Its description in RNAcentral is "partial 16S ribosomal RNA". It matches the Rfam family "Bacterial small subunit ribosomal RNA", at positions 523 to 796 of the family's 1533-position model. The record is from RNAcentral.
AUACGGAGGGUGCAAGCGUUAUUCGGAAUCACUGGGCGUAAAGGACGCGUAGGCGGAUUGGCAAGUCAGAUGUGAAAUCCUACAGCUUAACUGUAGAACUGCAUUUGAAACUGCUAACCUAGAGUAUGGGAGGGGGAGAUGGAAUUAGUGGUGUAGGGGUAAAAUCCGUAGAUAUCACUAGGAAUACCGAAAGCGAAGGCGAUCUCCUGGAACAUAACUGACGCUAAGGCGUGAAAGCGUGGGGAGCAAACAGGAUUAGAAACCCUAGUAGUCC